Molecule: non-coding RNA, 1086 nt
Organism: Peromyscus maniculatus bairdii (prairie deer mouse)
Lineage: Eukaryota; Metazoa; Chordata; Mammalia; Rodentia; Cricetidae
Source: RefSeq, a predicted model, not a curated record
GGCGUUGCCAUGGCCACACUAUCUGUUAGGGCCGCAAAUGCCAAGGAGUCUGCACCAGGCCUUUUCAGCCUGGAGCUUGUUAAGGGACCUGGCUCCAGAUGACACUGAGACCUAAUUAUAUGAGCACCCACCAUGAACCGAAAGAAGCUACAGAAGUUGACGGACACCUUAACUAAAAGUUGCAAGCAUUUUAAUAAAUUUGAAGUGAACUGUCUUAUUACGCUUUUCUAUAACUUGGUGGGAGAUGUAGCAGAAAGACCAGGAGUAGUCAUUGGACUAGAUCGUAAUGCAUUUCGGAACAUCCUGCAUGUGACAUUUGGAAUGACAGAUGACAUGAUUAUGGACAGAGUAUUUCGAGGUUUUGAUAAAGACAAUGAUGGCUGUGUAAAUGUAUCUGAGUGGAUUCAUGGAUUAUCACUGUUUCUUCGAGGGACUUUAGAAGAAAAAAUGAAAUAUUGUUUUGAAGUGUUUGAUCUGAAUGGUGACGGCUUCAUUUCAAAGGAAGAGAUGUUCCACAUGCUGAAGAACAGUCUUCUCAAGCAGCCCUCUGAGGAGGACCCUGAUGAAGGAAUUAAAGAUUUGGUUGAAAUUACUCUUAAGAAAAUGGACCAAGACCAUGAUGGGAAGUUGUCCUUUGCAGACUAUGAGAAUGCUGUGAGAGAAGAGACCCUUCUGCUGGAAGCCUUUGGGCCAUGCCUGCCUGAUCCAAAGGUGGUACCUCUAUACCAUCAGUAAACCAGGCCGUAGUUUCUUCUUCUUCAGUCAAGUCAUCAUGGGACACACCACAUGAGUCUACAGAGCCAGAUGGAAUUUGAAGCUCAAGUAUUCAAAGACCCAAAUGAUUUCAAUGAUAUGUGAAUUCGUAAAUGUACUGUUUUGAGGAAGUACAAAAGAAGCACAUUAAGUUCAUCUGUUCUUCUCAGUUCAGGAGAUGCUAUGGUGAGAUUCGGAUCAUUUGUAUGUAUUCUAGUUCAGGCCUUCUUCAGAGAUGCUAGAUUUGGCAAGAGACGUUGACAUUGCUAGAGCAUUUUACCACAUGGACUCUCUUAAGACACAUACCUGUCAUAAACCUCCAGAUUAAUCAAA